GUAGGUGAACCUGCGGAGGGAUCAUUACAGAGUAUCGUGCCCCUCGGGGUAGAUCUCCCACCCGUGUCUAUUCUACUCUUGUUGCUUUGGCGGGCCGCCCGGCCUCGGUCAGGCCACCGGCUCCGGCUGGUGAGCGCCCGCCAGAGGACCCAACUCUGAAUUAGUGUCGUCUGAGUACUAUAUAAUAGUUAAAACUUUCAACAACGGAUCUCUUGGUUCUGGCAUCGAUGAAGAACGCAGCAUCUGACUG
This 250-nucleotide unclassified non-coding RNA is filed under the name plant metagenome. RNAcentral's name for it is "partial contains small subunit ribosomal RNA, internal transcribed spacer 1, and 5.8S ribosomal RNA". The stretch from base 193 to 250 matches the Rfam family "5.8S ribosomal RNA", at positions 1 to 55 of the family's 154-position model. The record is from RNAcentral.